CCAGCUGGAAACAGGUAACUGAGAAUAGU
Molecule: non-coding RNA, 29 nt
Filed under: Rattus norvegicus (Norway rat)
Lineage: Eukaryota; Metazoa; Chordata; Mammalia; Rodentia; Muridae
Source: RNAcentral